AAUACAUGCAAGUCGAACGAAUCUCUUUUAGAGAUGAGUGGCGAACGGGUGAGUAAUACAUAGGUAACCUGCCCCUGUGCGGGGGAUAACAGGAGGAAACUCCUGCUAAUACCGCAUAGCCAUGAGCACCGCAUGGAGCUCAUGCCAAAUAUCCUUUAUGGGAUAGCGCAGGGAUGGACCUAUGGCGCAUUAGCUGGUUGGCGGGGCAACGGCCCACCAAGGCAACGAUGCGUAGCCGGCCUGAGAGGGCGGACGGCCACAUUGGGACUGAGACACGGCCCAGACUCCUACGGGAGGCAGCAGUAGGGAAUUUUCGGCAAUGGGGGAAACCCUGACCGAGCAACGCCGCGUGAGCGAAGAAGGCCUUCGGGUCGUAAAGCUCUGUUGUAAAGGAAGAACGGCGCAUACAGGAAAUGGUAUGCGAGUGACGGUACUUUACCAGAAAGCCACGGCUAACUACGUGCCAGCAGCCGCGGUAAUACGUAGGUGGCGAGCGUUAUCCGGAAUCAUUGGGCGUAAAGAGGGAGCAGGCGGCCGCAAGGGUCUGUGGUGAAAGACCGAAGCUAAACUUCGGUAAGCCAUGGAAACCGGGCGGCUAGAGUGCGGAAGAGGAUCGUGGAAUUCCAUGUGUAGCGGUGAAAUGCGUAGAUAUAUGGAGGAACACCAGUGGCGAAGGCGACGGUCUGGGCCGCAACUGACGCUCAUUCCCGAAAGCGUGGGGAGCAAAUAGGAUUAGAUACCCUAGUAGUCCACGCCGUAAACGAUGGUCACUAAGUGUCGGGGGUCAAACCCCGGUGCUGCAGU
Molecule: ribosomal RNA, 804 nt
Filed under: uncultured bacterium
Lineage: Bacteria
Description: bacterial SSU rRNA
Rfam family: Bacterial small subunit ribosomal RNA
Source: RNAcentral